AAGAAGCUAGAAAAAAACAGAGCAAAAACAGAAGCUAUACGUGUGUGAGAGAGUGAGAGAGAGUAGCCGUCAACCCGACCAGAAAACCCGACCCGGAACCCGCAACCCGCAACCUUGACCCGACCAUAUCUCCCAUUUCCGGCCACCGUUUCGGCUGAGCUUGGUACCAAUCUGAAGCUUAGAAGCCGACCGUCGUUCCCCUGCCAUCCUCGCCGCCGAAAACCAACCGGAACGCCGGCGAUCGAAGCUUGAAACCCGCGACUAUUUCACUUUGUUCCGCCAGGAUUUUCGCCGAUUUUGGGUGACACCACCAGUUGGAUUUUGUUCCCCACGACUCCCUCUUCCAUUUCCGACCAUCCAUAGGCACCGAGAGUCAUUGUUUUGCCGCCGGUCGAUUGUUGGAAUUCACGACUGCCGAGCUCGAUUCCGGCGCCGUUGCCGCGCGUUGGAGCUCACCGCCGGUACCAUUGAACUCAGCGUGAUUGGAACUUUCAGAUUUGAGCUUCCUAGCCAGCGUUGACCAAUUUUCCGUGACCGUUGACCGGCAAGGGCAUUUUGGUAAUUUCACACUAUGAGGGCAAUUUUGUAAUUUCUGAGCCUGUGGAUAUUUUAGUAAUUCCUAGAGUUGAGGAUUGGGUGUAAUUACGAUUCCGAGGGUAAUUCGGUGAUUUACGAUUUCGGAGCAUGUUAAUGAUUUACGGACUCAAGGGCAUUUUGGUAAUUUUAUGGACACGGGAGUUGUCAAUUAUGGAUAGAUGUUCGUUUCGAGUUUAUUGCAUAAAUUGAGUCGUAAUUUCGAUUUACGGAAAAUACUUAUGUCGUUUCCUUGAUUUAGGAGGAUCUGCGAGCCAGAACCGAUCCGCGGACGUGGACGAUAACCGACUGUGAACACCAUCACUGUGAGUGGAAUAUACAAAACUUAUUUUCAUAGUUAAUUAUGAUAGUAAAAUAUGUUUGCGAAAUAAGUAUUUUAAAUGUUCUGAUUUAAUGAUUUCUUCGAAAUGGAUUUUAUUCACACAUUGAUAUUUUAUUAAAUGUUUGGUUAAUGAUUUUAUGUAUCGACUUUGAAUAAGCAUGAUAGUAUUUUAAAGAUGAGAAACGUGGAUUCAAAUGUGGUAUGAUUUAAAGUAUGAUUAAAAUGUAUGUGACUAUGAGUAUAAUGAUUGUUUUUGAAAUCAUUAGACAGUACCCUUCCCCUCCAGAUACAGUGAUACAUGUCAUAUGAGAUGAGAGGCCUUUGGGGCCCAUCUGAACACACAUAGAGGCUUUGGGCCGUGUGUUUGGACGCUUUUACCUUUUGGGGGCAUAUGCAUGCAGUAUGAUGAUUAUAGAGAUACAGAUAUGAGAUACAGACAGAUAUUGAGAUACAUAUGAUACAGAUAUUGAGAUACAGAUGAUACAGAUGAGUUACAGGCCUUUGGGGCCCGUCUGAGUACACAUAGAGGCUUUGGGCCGUGUGCUUGGGCAUUUUAUUAUGCAUGCACAGAUAUGAUGAGAUAUGAUGAGAUAUGAGAUGGUAUUUCCCUAUCUAUCCGUGUAGCUCCGGGGCGUGACGUUACCCAGAUAGUACGUCAUUGCCCGUCCGUUGAGGUCCGGAUAUGAUGAGAUUAUUUCCCGGGGUACUUGUUUGGUGACGAUUUUCAGAUUUGUGAAUUCUAUAUGAUAUUGUGAUAUGAUUUCCAUGGUUAGUAAUCUGAUUUAAAUGUUUAAUGAUUUAUUAUUGGUUUCUCGCUUAUGGUUUAAUGAAAUCGUAUUUGGAAAUGAGAUGAUUAUUUCUUUUAAAGUAAGAAUUAAUUUUCAAAACUACUAUCCACUCACUGAGUUUUAAACUCACCCCGUUUUUAUUAUAUUUUUCCCCCCUCACUAGGAGGUUGCAGGUACACCAGACCGACCUAGCAACUGGAAAUAUAUUUUGAAUCUUGGCCACGUGAUGGUGUUAGAAGAUAUAGAUGUUUUUGUUAGGACAUCUUGGUCAUCUUGUUCUUUUGAGAUUGUAUAAUUUUGUUAUAUUCUUCUUUUGGGAUUAAGAAUAAACUGAGAUAUUAAUAUUAAUUAUAAUAUUAUCUUUUGAGACCCUGGAGAUAUAAAACUCAGCAUUUUAGUUGAGGAUGUUGAGCACUGGAGUUUGUUGUAUCUUGAAUUGUAUUGGGAGUGUUAUAUUCAUAUUUGUAGAUUGGGAGUGGUAUAUAUAUAAAGGAGACUCUGCCGAAUUUUCGGCAGAAUCUUUACGAAUAGAAUUAUUAUCAAGUCUGUUUUGAUGAGACUAGAUAGACUCACCUGGGGGGAUUCGAGGCGGGUCGUUUCAAACAAAUUAUAUGCUGCUCUGCUCGUAACCUUGCAAUCUUGCUGCAAGUUCUUAAAAAAAAAAAACCUCAAAUUAUCAAAUACACAAAGUGUUUACCAGCAUUCUGAAUUUUAGCCGUUAAGUAGUUCCUUUUACUGUCAAAAUCAAAAUACACAAGAUUGAUCAGAAAGCGGCCUACAUGGUUCCUGAAGUUGCUGCUGAAGGUAAUAUAUCUCUUGAUGCUAAAAAAACAUUUACGUGCUGCGAUAAUUAAAAUCACAAGAAAAAUUAUCAAAUACACAACUCGCUGAUCAUCGGCAGUCUGCUGAUAAUCAAAAAACUGAGUAACACGGUUAAACCAUUCUGUAGGAUCACCACCUGAAUAUCGCGGAAAUUCGAGCUUGGCUACUUGUGGUGGAAAUUGUUGUCGUUCCCCUUCACUCUCCCCUCGGCCUGGACGUAAAGAUCCUGCCUGAUCUUGUUGGUUCAUAACUCCUUGAGAUAGGCUGAAUGACUCGACCAGUUUGCUAAUCAUUGCUUCCAAGUGGUGGAAUUUAUCGUUCAUGCCUUGUUCUAUCCGUUGUAUGUUAUUCUGCAUUCCACCGAGCUCCACUUCGACACGUUCAAUCCGCUCUUUGUUGGUUAACAUUGUUAACCCCUGCUCUGAUACCAAUGUUAGGUCUCGAUCAAAACACGAUAACAAUGAAUUAUACUUGUUCUGUUUAUGGUAAGAACAACAUAAUUUCUUUGAACAAUUACUCGAUGCUUUAUUCCUCAUAGCUGAAGCUUAUUUAUAGUAGUUAUACAAAGACUACUUAUGAUUCCAACAAUCUCGGCUCAAAUCAAUUUAAAUCAAAUAAAGCAAUUAAUAAAUAUCAACUAAAAAACAGAAAACAAAUCAAACUUUAUUUGCUUCACCGUGCGAUCUGCAACAACCCCUUGACGUGGUCUUCCCUUUAUUUGCUCAGCUAUUUUACUUUAUAAGUAAACAUCACGUUUAAACUAGACUUGUAUGGAUAUGCAUGUGACGAGUACGUGAGAUGAAGUUCAUGCAUGAACAUGCAUGGUCAAACAAAGUCCACAUAUCUGUUACUAGGCUUAGAAGCCCUAGCUGACCUCCUUGGUUGUUUAUCAAAUUCUGCAUUCUUCAACUCUGCUUUCGUCUUCUUCAUCAUUCAUUCUUUCCGAUUGAAAUCCAAGAAAACGAUUGCUUGCAACAUUCAUUCAUUUUAAAGGCUUCAAAGAGAAAAGGGUUUUUGUGAAUUUUGAAUUCUUGAUUUUGAUGUGUACUAUUCACAGAAAACGAACCGCAGAAGAAUCUCUACUACCUUGGGCAAGUUUGGGCAAGAUCCUCUGCCAUUACCAAUUCUGAUUCUUGUAACGCUGGCCAUGAUGAUCUUUCUAGUCACCGCCCCUCGGAUUUUCUCUGUUGAGUUGAGCAUUGUAAAACCCACAGAAGUCAAAACCCAUUUGGUGCUUCCGGCCGUAUUACUUGUUCUAGUAAUGCUGGUUCAAUUCCUAUCUUCAUCACAAUUUUGGCUCUCGGAGGGAUUCUUUCAGUUCAGGGUUACUGCUUUGAUUAUGUUGUUAG
This 3875-nucleotide long non-coding RNA is filed under the name Citrus maxima (pomelo). RNAcentral's name for it is "long non-coding RNA (CMAX_LNC004154)". The record is from RNAcentral. Lineage: Eukaryota; Viridiplantae; Streptophyta; Magnoliopsida; Sapindales; Rutaceae.